Molecule: transfer RNA, 16 nt
Filed under: Parahucho perryi (Japanese huchen)
Lineage: Eukaryota; Metazoa; Chordata; Actinopteri; Salmoniformes; Salmonidae
Also listed under: 2 other names
Description: partial tRNA-Thr
Source: RNAcentral
AACCCUCCCUAGUGCU